RNAcentral lists this ribosomal RNA (254 nucleotides) under uncultured bacterium. RNAcentral describes it as "partial 16S ribosomal RNA". It matches the Rfam family "Bacterial small subunit ribosomal RNA", at positions 524 to 776 of the family's 1533-position model. The record is from RNAcentral. RNAcentral also lists the same sequence under 1 other name.
UACGUAGGGUGCAAGCGUUGUCCGGAAUUACUGGGCGUAAAGAGCUCGUAGGUGGUUUGUCGCGUCGUCUGUGAAAUCCCGGGGCUUAACUUCGGGCGUGCAGGCGAUACGGGCAUAACUUGAGUGCUGUAGGGGAGACUGGAAUUCCUGGUGUAGCGGUGAAAUGCGCAGAUAUCAGGAGGAACACCGAUGGCGAAGGCAGGUCUCUGGGCAGUAACUGACGCUGAGGAGCGAAAGCAUGGGUAGCGAACAGG